CUAGCGACUCAGAGUUUGAUCCUGGCUCAGGACGAACGCUGGCGGCGUGCCUAACACAUGCAAGUCGAACGGAGUAAUUUCUUCGGAGAUUACUUAGUGGCGAACGGGUGAGUAACGCGUGAGAAACCUGCCUUUCAGUGGGGGACAACAGUUGGAAACGACUGCUAAUACCGCAUAAUGUUAUUUGGGGGCAUCCCCGAAUAACCAAAGCUUUAUGUGCUGAAAGAUGGUCUCGCGUCUGAUUAGCUAGAUGGCGGGGUAACGGCCCACCAUGGCGACGAUCAGUAGCCGGUCUGAGAGGAUGAACGGCCACAUUGGGACUGAAAUACGGCCCAG
Molecule: ribosomal RNA, 336 nt
Filed under: uncultured bacterium
Lineage: Bacteria
Description: bacterial SSU rRNA
Rfam family: Bacterial small subunit ribosomal RNA
Source: RNAcentral